Molecule: transfer RNA, 74 nt
Filed under: Cosmarium impressulum
Lineage: Eukaryota; Viridiplantae; Streptophyta; Zygnematophyceae; Desmidiales; Desmidiaceae
Description: tRNA-Thr
Rfam family: tRNA
About the family: Transfer RNA (tRNA) molecules are approximately 80 nucleotides in length.
Source: RNAcentral
AGCCCUUUUAACUCAGUGGUAGAGUGUCACCAUGGUAAGGUGAAGGUCAUCGGUUCAAAUCCGUUAAAGGGCUU